This is a long non-coding RNA of Helianthus annuus (common sunflower), 421 nucleotides long. RefSeq lists it as uncharacterized. NCBI's taxonomy places the organism in Eukaryota, Viridiplantae, Streptophyta, Magnoliopsida, Asterales, Asteraceae. The transcript has 2 exons. The record is from RefSeq and is a predicted model, not a curated record.
UUCUCUUCUCCUUCUUAUUGCAGAAACUUUACAAUCACCAUUAACAUCAACAUUACAAUCAUGAAAACCAUUUUACAUAUUCAUAAAAAAAAAAUCACUAGCAAUAAUGAUCAUCAAUAGCCAUCCUUGAAGGGUAUGCAUCUUCUUCUUCCAGCUCUACUUCUUCACCAAACUAUAUCAGCAAGAAUCUUCAAAUCAACGCCGACUAAACUAUAAAUCGUCGCUCUGCUCCUCCGUCUUCACCGAAGAUUUCCUCAAUUCGAUGGGUUUGUAAAACAAUGGAUUUGGGGGCGAAAUCAGUGGAUGAAGUGUUGGAAGAGAUAAUGAGGAUUCCUAAAUCGCCUUUUCUAUGUUGUUUGAUUUGAUUUCUUAGUGUAACAUUUGCAGUAAAUCAAUAGAAUCACAUCUUCUUUCUUCAUAA